Neopsephotus bourkii (Bourke's parrot) is the source of this 1146-nucleotide long non-coding RNA. RefSeq lists it as uncharacterized. The transcript is spliced from 3 exons. Lineage: Eukaryota; Metazoa; Chordata; Aves; Psittaciformes; Psittacidae. The record is from RefSeq and is a predicted model, not a curated record.
UCACCGCCAAAAUGUGGACCAGCCCGGCGAGGUCAGAGGUCCCGGACCGCAGGAGACCGAGGUAAUGAUGAUGUCAUGAGAAAUCUCAAGUGCACGCGGCUUAAUUGAUGCGCACGAGCCCCAUUUCCCCUCCGAUCAUCCGCAGCUCCCGGCUUUUACCUCCCUCCUCGCCAGCGCAGGCCGCUCUGACCUCCGCGGGGACGGGAAGAAAACAACAAACCCAUCCUCGCUACGGCGGGAUAAAAGCCCCUUUCCCCGAGCCAGGGGAAAGCUCCGCUCCGGUGCAGCGCAUUUCCCGGCCCGCCGCAGAGGAAUGCUCCGGCCGCAGGCAAGGCCGGGAGCAGCACUGCGCUACGCUGCCGGUUCGCUCUCGCCGACGCUGUGUGCGGUGUGUAUGGGGGGGGGGUGUGUGUCAUAGCUCCGCACCCCUGCCGUGUUUCUCGCCUACAGGGAUGCAUCCGCAGAUCUCCAGAUGGCUGUGACAUACAGAAAAACACAUCCUGUGUGGAUUUCUUAGGAAUAAACAGUCCCUAUUGACUUCAAAGAUGAAUGCUUAUGUAUGGUUCUCAGAUUAUUGCGAUCAGAGCCCUCUUCUAAUGCGAGCAUCACCACCUUCCAUGGGGAAGACACAGUCCCCCUUUGGCUGCUGUGAGGUACAUAGGAAGGGCACAGCAUUACAUAAACUUCCUUUUUGCACCAAUUUAUGGCAGGAUUCAUGCAGAUGCAAAUCACGGCACGCCAAUACAGCCCAGGCCAGCUUUCUCUGCAGAGCAUCCCUUUCCUUCUCCCAGCCAGCAGAAGGUCGGAAUUUAGAAGCUGUUUUUUCUCCAGCUAACUUCUGAAGUACAUUUUCUUCCGAGUCUUGUUUUGGAGAGGCACUACCAUUUUGUGCAACUUUGGUCCGGGCAACAGCAAGGGAAAAAAAUAGAAAGAAAAACAAAACAAAACAACAACAGCAACAACCAAAACAGAAAAAACUGAUGGCGCUGACAAAAAGGAUUCUUUUCCCAUCCCUGCCGUCAUGCAAACUUGAAGCGUGACCUCUCGUCGCUGGAAGGAGGGUGCCAGUUCCUGCCGUCCACCGCUUCGGGUUUGGAAACAGCGUGAAAACGCCCCUCAAAGCCCCUGUGGAUUUUAGAGCAAGGG